This 1177-nucleotide long non-coding RNA is filed under the name Oncorhynchus kisutch (coho salmon). RNAcentral describes it as "lncRNA (ENSOKIG00005047288.1)". The record is from RNAcentral. Lineage: Eukaryota; Metazoa; Chordata; Actinopteri; Salmoniformes; Salmonidae.
CAUUGACACAGUAUGGUUCAGGUUAUAGUUUCUGUGUCCCCCUGUCACUGUGCUGUACAGUAUAUCACUGGAUUACAUCCAUGUCGUAGCACAUCUAACAAUCUGAGAUGAAUAAACAUAGCACUGAGCAAUGCACAACGCAUUGCGUGUGCAAUGAGCGACAAACCCAAAAUAAGCCCUCAGGAAAAACAAUGAUGGCAUAAAGUAUUAGUUGCUCUGUACUGAACACUGAUAGUGAUAGAGAGUGGGCUAUCACUUUCAGUCUUCAGACAGCACAAACGCAAGCAUGGAGAUAAAACACACACACACCCGCACGCACCCGCACCCACAAACACACACACACACAAACACCCGCCCCCCCCCCCCCCCCCCCCGCCGGAAUAAUGCUUGUUAACUUGUUAUUAGCGUGCAUGAGUCAUUAACAUGUGUUAUAACAAGGCUUAUAAUGUCUAUCUAUGUAUCCACAUUUCUACAAUGGCUGGUAUUUAGUCAGGAUCAUUAUGAGAUGAUAAUAAGACACUAAGGGGGUUAUGUAUGCUUAUAACAAGUCUUAUAAUGCAUUACAACCAUUUCAACCAUAUUGUAAUUGGUUAUACCUGUAGGCGUAAAAUAAAGUGUUACCGACUGUGGGAACUGACUUCUCUAAAUCCUAGUCUCCACUUCCCCUUCAAUAACCUGAGGCUGACACCGUGACAUGGGCAUAACCCCGGCCCGGGCUGUCAGAUAGAGGGGAUUCCUAGAGGGGAUUCACACACAGCCAGCAAAUAGAGCACAACAACCACAUAGAUCCUAUUAAAUGACUCAUUCCUAAUUCUAUGACAACAACAGAACACACUGAAGAAUACCCAUUCAAAACAAACGUGAACCAGCAAUCAGCAUUCACAGUGUUCUGCUCAAUUCUAAUGAAGGGUGGGGGGAAACGUUGUUCUAUGUGCAUUGAAAUAAAGAACCCCAGCCAGGCUGGAGAGAGCCAUAUGAGCAAAUGUAUGGAAGGAUGCAUAGGGAUGAAGAGUGCUUUUGUUCUCCAGUGACACUGUGAGAUCUGUUCCAUCUCCACUGCCUGGCUGUCUGUAUGUCCAGCCCUGUGGCACACAGACUCAAAGAGCCAGAGGCAGACCCAGGAUCACAACCUCCCUUCCUUCUCCUGCCUUUUCUACAGGGAGUCAGUCAGUCAGUC